Molecule: long non-coding RNA, 1604 nt
Organism: Rhinolophus ferrumequinum (greater horseshoe bat)
Lineage: Eukaryota; Metazoa; Chordata; Mammalia; Chiroptera; Rhinolophidae
Source: Ensembl
GUUUCCGUUUAAUAAAUAUAUUUGUAGAAGAGUGAGGAAUAGUGUAACAGUAAAUCAUGGAUCAGAUUUAAUGACAAUAAAUGUAUUGGGGAAAGAGUAGACUGGAAUGCCACUCCAUUUCAAACUGGUUGAAUUGCAACCAUAGGUUGACUGACUACAGAUACAAGAAUUCAGCAAAAAUUAACAAAAGCGUUCUGUGAGAACAAAUUGACUAUGCAAGAUUUACAAUCAAGAGAUUGUACAUUGUGUUGUCGUUUGUAAAUUGUGCUGCACAUCCUUUAUGUCAGUAAAAUUUAUAACAAACAUAUGUCUACAAUGUAUACAUUUGGAUUUCCGAAGAAACAGUUGUCAAAUAUCUACCAACACACUACUGGACAAAUCCAAAUUUAAUAAAGUCCUUCAAAGCAAAUUUCUGCUUGGGAAAGCUCUCUCCACUGUUCAAAGUAUUUUCAGGACAAAGCAAUAGGCAACCUCAUGCUUCCAUUGGGGACAGACACUCCCAGGACACAGGUAGCUUUGUGGCUUUGGGAUCUGUCACUUUCCACAAUGACAAUAAAACCAACUCAUUCAGGGGCUUUGUGGUACUUUCUUUCCUUUGACAUUUUUCAAUUUAAGUGCCUUAAAUAAGGCUACUGGACUGCAAGUAGCAGCAAUUUCUCAGGCCAGUUAAAACGAAAGCAGGACUUAUCCUAAGGAUGAAUGUCUGGGAAUGUAACCAUCAGCUGGAGCGCAGGAAGCUAGCUCCUCUCUCCCUCCCCACAUAUAUGUCUUCAUGGUUGCUUCGUUCUUCUCUUCCCCUGUACAGAGCUUCCUGCUUCUUUUCUACUGUGCAAACAGCAGUGGAAGUGAAGGCAGAGUGACUGCUUUACAGUCAACAAAUUUACCUAAUCCUAGGUCGGAGGCCAGCCAGCCCGACAGUUAACGGCCGAUCCACAAUUUCCAGGCAAAGGAUCUGAUUGGCCUGCUUGAAUCAGGUUGGCAUUCCUGGACCAAUCAGUGACUGCAGGGGUACAGACAGGGCCUCAGGGGCCACGCCCAGUAGGGAGGGGCAACUCUGGGUGGCGGGUGAGCCUGGGCUGGGCCGGCGCUCCCUAGGUCCACGAUAUUCAAAGAAGUCACUCAAGGAGGUCACAUUUGGACGCCCAGGACUCAUUGGAAGGGAAUCCCUGAGCUGUCAGGAGCAGGCCCGGGAACCACAGCGUCCACAGUGCCUGGCAUGCUCCUGGUACAGAGCUCCUGCAACAACUGACAAAGCAGGAUCUCGGCAGCAGAGGCUUGGAUUCAAAGUCAGCAGAGGUCUGCAUUCAAAUUCCUGCUCCCUUAGCUGUGCAUUCUCAGAAAAGUGACUUAACUUUUCUGUGCCUCACUUUCCUUAUCUGUAAAAUGGGAUAAAUAACAGUACUAACGUCAUGAGGUUGUGAGGAUUAUAGUCAGCCCUCCCUAUCUGCAGGUUUCGCAUCCGAAGAUUCAAUGAAGUGUUGGGAGUCCGUGGACGCAGAGGGCUGACUGUAUGCAUUGUUCUACACCAUUUUCUAUCAGGAACUUGAGCGUCCACGGAUAUUGGUCCUGGAGCCAAUACCAGCAGAUACUGAGGGACAACUGUA